UACGUAGGGGGCGAGCGUUGUUCGGAAUCACUGGGCGUAAAGGGAGCGUAGGCGGGGUCGUAAGUUAGGAGUUUAAUUCCCGGGCUUAACCCGGGGCUGGCUUUUAAUACUGCGACUCUUGAGUAGGGAAGAGGGAGAUGGAAUUUCAGGUGUAGCGGUGGAAUGCGUAGAUAUCUGAAAGAACACCGGUAGCGAAGGCGGUCUCCUGGUACCAUACUGACGCUGAGGCUCGAAAGUUAGGGGAG
RNAcentral lists this ribosomal RNA (245 nucleotides) under uncultured bacterium. RNAcentral's name for it is "partial 16S ribosomal RNA". It matches the Rfam family "Bacterial small subunit ribosomal RNA", at positions 524 to 768 of the family's 1533-position model. The record is from RNAcentral.